This 456-nucleotide ribosomal RNA is filed under the name uncultured bacterium. RNAcentral describes it as "bacterial SSU rRNA". It matches the Rfam family "Bacterial small subunit ribosomal RNA", at positions 340 to 786 of the family's 1533-position model. The record is from RNAcentral.
UACGGAAGGCAGCAGUGGGGAAUAUUGCACAAUGGGCGCAAGCCUGAUGCAGCCAUGCCGCGUGUAUGAAGAAGGCCUUCGGGUUGUAAAGUACUUUCAGUCGUGAGGAAGGUGUUAAGGUUAAUAACCUUAGCAAUUGACGUUAGCGACAGAAGAAGCACCGGCUAACUCCGUGCCAGCAGCCGCGGUAAUACGGAGGGUGCGAGCGUUAAUCGGAAUUACUGGGCGUAAAGGGCACGCAGGCGGUUAAUUAAGUUGGAUGUGAAAUCCCCGGGCUUAACCUGGGAAUGGCAUUCAAGACUGGUUAGCUAGAGUCUUGUAGAGGGGGUAGAAUUCCAUGUGUAGCGGUGAAAUGCGUAGAGAUGUGGAGGAAUACCGGUGGCGAAAGGCGGGCCCCUGGGACAAAGACUGACGCUCAUGUGCGAAAGCGUGGGGAGCAAACAGGGAUUAGAUACC